This 274-nucleotide ribosomal RNA is filed under the name uncultured bacterium. Its description in RNAcentral is "partial 16S ribosomal RNA". It matches the Rfam family "Bacterial small subunit ribosomal RNA", at positions 523 to 796 of the family's 1533-position model. The record is from RNAcentral.
AUACGGAGGGUGCAAGCGUUACUCGGAAUCACUGGGCGUAAAGCGCGCGCAGGCGGUCUUUUAAGUUGGAUGUGAAAGCCUACGGCUCAACCGUAGAACUGCAUCCAAAACUAUUAGACUAGAGUGUGGGAGAGGAAGAUGGAAUUAGUUGUGUAGGGGUAAAAUCCGUAGAGAUAACUAGGAAUACCAAAAGCGAAGGCAAUCUUCUGGAACACUACUGACGCUGCGGCGCGAAAGCGUGGGGAGCAAACAGGAUUAGAAACCCUAGUAGUCC